GCCUUCGUAGCUCAGGGGAUAGAGCACCGCUCUCCUAAAGCGGGUGUCGCAGGUUCGAAUCCUGCCGAGGGCACAG
Molecule: transfer RNA, 76 nt
Filed under: Nocardia farcinica IFM 10152
Lineage: Bacteria; Bacillati; Actinomycetota; Actinomycetes; Mycobacteriales; Nocardiaceae
Description: putative tRNA-Arg
Rfam family: tRNA
About the family: Transfer RNA (tRNA) molecules are approximately 80 nucleotides in length. Their secondary structure includes four short double-helical elements and three loops (D, anti-codon, and T loops).
Source: RNAcentral